GAAAUGUGAUAAGUAAUGUGAAUUGCAGAAUUCAGUGAAUCAUCGAAUCUUUGAACGCACCUUGCGCUCCGUGGUAUUCCGCGGAGCAUGUCUGUUUGAGUGUCAUGAACUCUUCAACCCACCAGUUUCUUGUAAAUUGGAUUGGUGUUUGGAUUUUGAGUGUUGCUAUUCCUAGUGAAUCAGCUCAUUCGUAAUAUAUUAGCAUCUCUAAUUCGAACUCGGAUUGACUCAGUGUAAUAGACUAUUCGCUGAGGACACGCUCUUUGUAGUGUGGCCGAAUGAGAUCUCAGUAGAAGCUUCCAACUACUUUAGUCAACUUUAGAUUAGACCUCAGAUCAGGCAGGAUUACCCGCUGAACUUAA
Molecule: unclassified non-coding RNA, 362 nt
Filed under: uncultured Leucosporidium
Lineage: Eukaryota; Fungi; Basidiomycota; Microbotryomycetes; Leucosporidiales
Also listed under: 1 other name
Description: sequence contains ITS1
Rfam family: 5.8S ribosomal RNA (bases 1-105)
Source: RNAcentral